This 429-nucleotide ribosomal RNA is filed under the name uncultured Anaerolineaceae bacterium. Its description in RNAcentral is "bacterial SSU rRNA". It matches the Rfam family "Bacterial small subunit ribosomal RNA", at positions 936 to 1382 of the family's 1533-position model. Lineage: Bacteria; Bacillati; Chloroflexota; Anaerolineae; Anaerolineales; Anaerolineaceae. The record is from RNAcentral.
AGCAUGUGGUUAAUUCGAAGCAACGCGAAGAACCUUACCUGGGUUUGACAUAUGGGUGGUAGGGAACCGAAAGGGGACCGACCUUCGGGAGCCCAUACAGGUGCUGCAUGGCUGUCGUCAGCUCGUGCCGUGAGGUGUUCGGUUAAGUCCGGUAACGAGCGCAACCCUCGUCGUCAGUUACAAGUGUCUGACGAGACUGCCCGUGAUAAGCGGGAGAAGGUGGGGAUGACGUCAAGUCAGCAUGGCCUUUAUAUCCAGGGCUACACACACGCUACAAUGGCCGGUACAAUGGGUCGCCAACCCGCGAGGGGGAGCCAAUCCAAUAAAGCCGGUCUCAGUUCGGAUUGCAGGCUGCAACCCGCCUGCAUGAAGUCGGAGUUGCUAGUAACCGCGCGUCAGCACAGUGCGGUGAAUACGUUCCCGGGCCUU